This 553-nucleotide ribosomal RNA is filed under the name uncultured fungus. RNAcentral describes it as "partial 18S ribosomal RNA". The stretch from base 188 to 341 matches the Rfam family "5.8S ribosomal RNA". Lineage: Eukaryota; Fungi. The record is from RNAcentral.
UCCGUAGGUGAACCUGCGGAGGGAUCAUUACAAGUUGACCCCGGCCCUCGGGCCGGGAUGUUCACAACCCUUUGUUGUCCGACUCUGUUGCCUCCGGGGCGACCCUGCCUCCGGGCGGGGGCCCCGGGUGGACAUUUCAAACUCUUGCGUAACUUUGCAGUCUGAGUAAAUUUAAUUGAUAAAUUAAAACUUUCAACAACGGAUCUCUUGGUUCUGGCAUCGACGAAGAACGCAGCGAAAUGCGAUAAGUAAUGUGAAUUGCAGAAUUCAGUGAAUCAUCGAAUCUUUGAACGCACAUUGCGCCCCCUGGUAUUCCGGGGGGCAUGCCUGUUCGAGCGUCAUUUCACCACUCAAGCCUCGCUUGGUAUUGGGCGACGCGGUCCGCCGCGCGCCUCAAAUCGACCGGCUGGGUCUUUCGUCCCCUCAGCGUUGUGGAAACUAUUCGCUAAAGGGUGCCGCGGGAGGCCACGCCGUAAAACAACCCCAUUUCUAAGGUUGACCUCGGAUCAGGUAGGGAUACCCGCUGAACUUAAGCAUAUCAAUAAGCGGAGGA